RNAcentral lists this ribosomal RNA (369 nucleotides) under uncultured organism. RNAcentral's name for it is "bacterial SSU rRNA". It matches the Rfam family "Bacterial small subunit ribosomal RNA", at positions 526 to 896 of the family's 1533-position model. The record is from RNAcentral.
CGUAGGUGGCAAGCGUUGUCCGGAUUUAUUGGGUUUAAAGGGUGCGUAGGCGGUGAUUUAAGUCAGUGGUGAAAUACUUCAGCUUAACUGGAGAGGUGCCAUUGAUACUGGGUCACUUGAGUACUGAUGAGGUAGGCGGAAUGGACGGUGUAGCGGUGAAAUGCUUAGAUAUCGUCCAGAACACCGAUAGCGAAGGCAGCUUACUAAGGAGUAACUGACGCUGAGGCACGAAAGUGUGGGGAUCAAACAGGAUUAGAUACCCCUGGUAGUCCACACUGUAAACGAUGAUCACUCGAUGUUGGCGAUACACAGCCAGCGUCUUAGCAAAAGCGAUAAGUGAUCCACCUGGGGAGUACGCCGGCAACGGUG